GAAUUAAGGUUAAAUUUAAUAGAAAAAAAUUAAACUUUAGGUCUGUUCGACCAUUAAAACCUUACAUGAUUUGAGUUAAGACCGGCGUAAGCCAGGUUGGUUUCUAUCUUUAAUUUAAAAAUUUUUAUAGUACGAAAGGACCUAAAAAUUUAAUUUAAUUAAUUAAUUAGCUUAUAUUAAAGCAAGUAUUUUGAAAAUACUAGAAAGAUAAAAAAUUUAUUAAUUUU
RNAcentral lists this unclassified non-coding RNA (227 nucleotides) under Frankliniella insularis. RNAcentral's name for it is "partial contains large subunit ribosomal RNA (rrnL); may also contain tRNA-Leu (trnL)". The stretch from base 1 to 109 matches the Rfam family "Bacterial large subunit ribosomal RNA", at positions 2534 to 2643 of the family's 2925-position model. The record is from RNAcentral. Lineage: Eukaryota; Metazoa; Arthropoda; Insecta; Thysanoptera; Thripidae.